Molecule: non-coding RNA, 38 nt
Organism: Schistosoma haematobium
Lineage: Eukaryota; Metazoa; Platyhelminthes; Trematoda; Strigeidida; Schistosomatidae
Source: Rfam
UGCUGAAGAGUCCCAUAAUAGGACGAAACGGCCGUCCA